Poecilia latipinna (sailfin molly) is the source of this 3431-nucleotide long non-coding RNA. RefSeq lists it as uncharacterized. The transcript is spliced from 2 exons. The record is from RefSeq and is a predicted model, not a curated record. Lineage: Eukaryota; Metazoa; Chordata; Actinopteri; Cyprinodontiformes; Poeciliidae.
AGAAAGCAGACAAGGAAGGAAGAACAAUGUGGAAGGAUGGAUGAAGGGUUGUAAGAAAGGAUGGAUGUUAGAAAGACAAGAAAAAAUAGAAAAGUGGGAAGGAGGGUGAAAGAAAGAAGAGAAAGAGUGACAUGGAUGAAAAGAAGGACUGAAAUAUGCAAAGAAGAGUAGACAGGACAAAAUAAGGCUGAAAGGGUCAAUAAAAGAAAAGAGGGAAGGACAUGGUAACAGAAGAAGGAUGGAAAGAAAAGAUGGAGGAGAAGGUGGAGAAACCUAUGGAUGAGUGGAAACAUUAUUUAGAUAUGAAAAAAGUUGUUCAUACUUUUUUCCAUAAUAAUAGAUUCCUGAAGUCUAAUUAGUCUAAAGCUGGAACAUUGGGAACGGCACAGCGGUUUAUUGGUUCAAUUGGGAUUCUGUGCAGUAAAUUGACCCAUGAAUCUAUACCAAUCACAUUAACUAUUUAUGAUCAGUGGCUGCAGAGUGUUUUUAUUUAAAUAUUCAUGAAAGCCGAAUAAAUUCACACCUGCAACUUCAAAGGAGUUUGUUUAAAUAUUAAUGAUGAAAUAUGAUCAUGUGCAGGAAAAGGAAAAAGAAAAUCUCUGUUGUACUUCAUGGCUCUAUAUGAAGCUACACUGUGAGCCUCGGGCUUUAACUGUUCCUUUUUGAGCCUAAAUGAUCAAAAAAGCUCAGAUUCCCAUCACGUUUAAGACGUUUUUUCUUUUUCUUUCUUUCUGAAGCACAAGGUGAAGCUCUCGGCAUUAAUCAUAUUUGCUCGUCUUGUAAAAGGAGAAGCUCUGAAAUUAUUUAAUGAUGAUAACUCUACCUGUUAAAAGUUUCUGGAGAAAAAAAAAACUGUGAAGCAUGUCGGCGGUGAUGAAGUGGAGCGCGCAGACGAGUUUUCUAAACUUUUUAGGCCAGUUGGGCUAAAAAAUGUACCAGCUGGAAAGUCCGGCUUCUUUUCGCAGCAGAAACUAUUUAAAGACGAUUUUAAAAAAGAUUAGCAUUUCUGCUCGCUUUUUGCACCCUGGGGGACAGCAGCAUCAGAGAAGCGUGAUGCGUGGCGAGCUGGUGCUCCAGGAGGGAGAGAAACAAGUUUAGAUCCCCGGUGAUGAAGAUGGUCUCAGGCGCAGCUGGUGGGGUGACCUUGAUGUCUGAGACGGUCUUAACGCUCUGAAAUCCACCGAGGUCCUGGUGAUUAAAGGGGCAGUGCUGUGCAUUUUCCAGCCACAUAGUGAAAUUUAAAGACCAAUCAAGUAACCAUGUUCCCUUCAGUUGUUAUAAAAAAAAGCUACAUAUCUCAAAUAUGACUUCAAAGUAAAAACGUCCACUGGCUAGCUAGCAAGAGUUUAUUCAGAUUCAGAUUGACAUUACUAUGGUAAAUCAACAACUUUACUAAAAAGAAAACAGAACAAAAUACAAUUUUACAAACAAAUAUUUGACCAAAAAAAAGGAGUACGCUGAAGUCAAGCCUUAUGCAAAUCCACAGACUCAGCAGCAGAGUCAACCGCCUUGAGACAGAAUGUAAUGAAGACCUCUGUGUGCGACUCAAACUUUUGCUUGACAGAAAAGUCUCAGAAAAAAAACAAAACUAAAUGGAAUACAAGACAUUAAAUUGUCCUGCAAUGAGGAAAUCUAAAAUCUGUUACGUACUGAAGUCUAACUUACACGUUUUAAAUUAAUUUAAGGCAUUUUAAUUUGAAUUUAAAACUUUUUAAGGAUGCGCGGACACCUUGCAGGUGUGUUCUGAUGGAGGGAAUAAAAUUAUAACCUGACCUAAAGCCAGAAAGAAGUCAAUUUUACUUACUAAUAGUGUCAGGCAAAACCACAAUUACCCAACCCUCUCUAGCUCGGGAGGCUAGAGAGGAGCGAAACACACGUACGUUCAUGUAGAGGCACAGAAAGCAGAAGGCGUAUCAUCAUGCAACGUCAGCUAAUCCCUCAAUCCCGCAGAAAAACCGUCUCUACAGUCUCUCCCUGUUUCUCUCUUCACAUCAGCUGUCAGCACGCUGUGGCUAAUAGCUAAUCGAGCCGGGAGCCCGACCGCCACUCUGAGCGUCUGCCUGGGGCCCCUUUUGGGUUUGUGCUGCGAGGCGCGGCGAGUUGGAAGAGCGCGCGCACCUGCAUGUGUGUGCGUGGCACGUGUCUGUCUGGUUUGGCGUCGCUGUCGCACCGUCUCCGCCCACGUGCCGCUCUGAAUGGCAAACAGUUGCGUUUUAAAUACCAGCGCUACUCAGCAUGACGAGUCUUGAGCGGACGAGCCGAUUCCUGAUCAGAGCUGCCAACAUAUGGGGCCCCUGUUCCUGCUGACCGGAGAUAUUAAUUAAGCCGUGCAUAGAUGGGGAACAGGAUGUUCUCUCGGGUGGCACUGCAAGGAUCAGGAUGAUUUGCAACCAGGGAGCACUUUUUAUCAGCACACGUCAAAACGCCUCGGAGUGCGAAACGUCGAGUCUGAGGUGAUGAAUAUGAGCUGCAUUCUGAGCCGGAGUGUGAAGGCUGCAAGUUUGAUCUUAAGUUUUUUUCUGUUUGAAGAGUGCAUUUAUCUCAAAUGUGUUUGGGUUUUGCUGCAGAUGCCCACUACAACGUUUGUUUUAUUGGGAUUUUAUGUGAGACAAAGCGGUGGAUAAUUGCUAAGAGGUCAGAAAAAGAAGCAGAGUAAAGAAUACGAAAUGUAAAUUGUGAAUAUAAAUGUAACCAGAUUCAUUUUAACUGGAUUCCGAAAUCCUAAAGAAAAAUUAGAUGUAGUGACUCUUGCAAAAUAAAUUUCUUCAGAGUCGUUACAAAUGGUUAUGGAGAUUAUUUCUUAAACUAUGACUAAUAUUCGGGGGAUGGCAGAAAAGCCGUUAUUCUGAAUUAUUUAUCUCUUUCUUUUCCUUGUUUUUAGAUGCCAGCGUGGCGCUGCCGUUUUUGAAUCAUUGAAAUUGGACCAAACUGUAUUCCUACGAUCAGUACUGUACAUUUAUGUCUUACUCUUUCUGUAUCUUGCAGCUGCUGCACUGCUGUGCUCAAAGAACUAAGUAUAUCCUCUCUUAAUAUGAUGAAAAAGUACAAGUUAUAAAUAAUCUGCUAAUGGAGCUUUUUCAUCAAUAUUAAGAAAUCAUUUAUAUAAAUCAAGCUUCUAUAUUCUGCCAAAAAAAAUAUCUUUUUUAUAAAAAGUUUAUUUUAUCUUGUUUCAAGUGUAUGUAGGCGUUUCUUUUCCUUGUGAAUGAAGUGAAAUGUCAUUUGAAAGAUUAUUUAUAUUUCUUUAUAGGUGUUUAUAUAGGUGUAUUCAUAAGUGAAAUAAUCUGCCAGUGAAAGCAGUUUUUCAUCAACAUUAAGGAAGUAUUUACAUAAAACAACUCCUACGUCUCAAUGAAAAGUUACCUAUAAGUCAGUUUUGUCUUAUUUCAGGUGUUGUAAGAUAACUGCACCAGACGUUGAACCAAAAACUCUUG